CGGGUGAGUAAUACAUAAGUAACCUGCCCUAGACAGGGGGAUAACUAUUGGAAACGAUAGCUAAGACCGCAUAGGUACGGACACUGCAUGGUGACCGUAUUAAAAGUGCCUCAAAGCACUGGUAGAGGAUGGACUUAUGGCGCAUUAGCUGGUUGGCGGGGUAACGGCUCACCAAGGCGACGAUGCGUAGCCGACCUGAGAGGGUGACCGGCCACACUGGGACUGAGACACGGCCCAGACUCCUACGGGAGGCAGCAUG
Molecule: ribosomal RNA, 259 nt
Filed under: uncultured bacterium
Lineage: Bacteria
Description: partial 16S ribosomal RNA
Rfam family: Bacterial small subunit ribosomal RNA
Source: RNAcentral